UUUUGUGUAGUUACAAAGAUAGUAAGUACAACACUAAAUAUCCUAAAAGGUUAAAAACUCCAUAAUUAUAAAUUCAGUUAUACAGCUUCAAUGGUAGCAAUAGUUUAAAGAUAGAUUUCUGUUGAAGAAAUUCAACUCUUGUGAUGUUUUGCCAUUUUUAAGGCUAGCAAAGGAUUAUUGGAGUUGUAGUUCUACAACAACUGGAGAUCUACAUUGUGGCCAUCUAUAAG
This is a non-coding RNA of Pelobates cultripes (western spadefoot toad), 230 nucleotides long. The record is from the annotation of a GenBank genome assembly. NCBI's taxonomy places the organism in Eukaryota, Metazoa, Chordata, Amphibia, Anura, Pelobatidae.